GAGACGGGGAGCAGGCAGGACAAAAUUCUCCUGGCCUCCCGCCUUCGGAGGUACGUGAGCACUUGUCUGCGUAAUACUGGUUUCCUGCUCUGGAAGAGAAGGGAAGUCGGCCGACUGGAGGAGACGGAGGUGGAUGACUGGAAAACAGAAAGAGUUUUUUUCACCGGAGUCUUCUGUUAAGUUAUGGAUUUUGUGCCGACAUUACCAAAACCAAAAAGGACAAAGUUAAGAGUAGAGAUGGGAAUGAGAUGUUUGAAUACAAGGGAAAUAAAGGCAGUGUAUUUAAAGUAGGUUGGGCAGUAAUCCUGUAAACCUUGAAAGGCUAGUGGGACCACAACUGGACAAAGGAGAUUAGCAUGGCAGGGCUCUGUAACCUUGAGCAGGGAAUUAUGGGAAAACAGUACUUUAGGGCCAGUGAGUCUGCAAAAUGGCUUAGAGUGGAAACAGAUUGGAGGCAGAGAAGCCAAAAAGGUAGUAACUGGAAAUGAGAAGUCCUAAACAGGACUUCAAGCCUUCAUUAAAGCAAGCCCUCCCAGGCCACUCUGCCCCGCCCCUUCAAUAAAUGCACUUACCUGUAUUGUUCAUAGGACUUUUAUUACCUACAAAUAUCUGGGACCUUGUCUGUUCCAGAUAAAUGAUAUUAGCAAAACUUAGCUAUUUUACUUCCAGAAAGCAAAAAGAAGGAAAAACAACUUGUUCCAGCCCAUUUUCUGGAUGGAUUCUCUUCGUUUUUCAUAAUACUGCUGGAAGUAAAGAAUGAAAUGUAUACAAUCCACAAUUGCCAUUCAACUCUGAAAAGGUGUGACCCAAUAAAAAAUAGAGUAUAGAAACAAGUCUUAGGUGAUCUCUCACUAUAACCUGUUCUGACUCACAGUACCUGCCCAUAUCACCCCAGCCAUACCAUAAAAUGGCCACACCCUAUAACAGAUCUUUUAUCAGUUAUUACAGUGAUAUUUAGAAAAUAUGCAGUCAUUUAAACAAAUCCUUUCAACAACCAUUUCAGUGUUUGGAUGGUUUGCAAUGUUCAGACUCCCAGAUAAGCAUUCUUCUUGUACUGCCUUUGUUAACUGUUUCUGAUCUUGCCAUCUAGCUCACUGUCUUCCAAGCAACAGGUACCCAAUAUGUGUUUUAUUGAUUAAAACCUUCUAGAACUAGAGAAGCAAGGGACAACUGCCUAUUAAAAUAGCUGACAGUCAGAAUUUCCAUAUUUAGAGAAACAGUAGUACCAGACAACUAAAAAGUUAGGAGGGUACAGCCCCAAGAUUUCAAACUAGAUUUCCAUGAUGGAAAAUGACACUACUAGCAAAAUGGGGAUGGGGUGACUAAGACCUCAGUUUAUAGAGCAAGAUAUGAGCAUGGUUUUUAGACAUGGAAAGUGGUGACAGGACAUCUCAGGAGAAAAAGACUAUAUUAAGAGAAGCUACCCAAUGCUGUUUUUACUGUUAAGUCCUGUUUAAUUCCUAAGGAAAGUACACUGAAGGUCCAUUAUGUUAUUCUGUGCUCCAGUUCCACUUCAUGGAACCUCUUCCUAAACCAUAUUCAUACAUUCUAUCAUAAUCUGAUUAUAAUGAAUAGAGAUUCUAAAAGUAAUUUAAAAAUCAUUUAAUACACAAAGUGGAAAACUGUCUAGAAUAUAAAAGCAUUUCACAUUUUUUAAAAAACACAUAAUACCUUCUAAAUUACUUAACAGAUGAUAGAUCCACAAUCCUUUAUCUGAAACCCUUAGGGCAAGAUGUUUCAGAAUUAUGAAAUUUUCAGAUUUUAGAAAGGUAAUUCAGGACAUAUACCAUACUACAUAAACACCCAGCAGGGUCUGUGGCAGCCCCCCCCCCAAUAAUCAAAUAUGUUAAUAUUUCCACAGCAAAGUAAAU
Long non-coding RNA from Zalophus californianus (California sea lion), 1871 nucleotides. RefSeq lists it as uncharacterized. Lineage: Eukaryota; Metazoa; Chordata; Mammalia; Carnivora; Otariidae. The record is from RefSeq and is a predicted model, not a curated record. The transcript has 2 exons.